Molecule: non-coding RNA, 138 nt
Organism: Ornithorhynchus anatinus (platypus)
Lineage: Eukaryota; Metazoa; Chordata; Mammalia; Monotremata; Ornithorhynchidae
Source: Rfam
CCCCUCUCAGGGUCACAUCUGGAGAAUUCCCAGUACUCUACCAGUCUCGACUAAAGGAGGGAGAGUCAAGCAGAAGCAUAUUCAUUCCAUUCCUAGUUUGGGCAGUGGCUAGAGAGUGGCAGGCAAUCUGCUACGAGU